CAAAGAACUUUGAAGAGAGAGUUCAAAAGGACGUGAAACCACUUGCAAGUAAACAGAUGGAACCACGAAGUGUAGCUGAGAGGAGAAUUCAAUUUUACUUAAAGAACAAUUGUGGUUAUGAGUAGUGUGUAUUCUUGGCUUACUUUUCUUGAAGUAAGUUUGAGUAAAGGCAUUUGCUCUUCCACUUAUUAUUAGUGUUCUUUCUUUAGUAAAUGCAUUUUCACUCUUCUCAUGCUCGAGCCUUGUACAAUAGGGUAAUAUUUAAAGGAAAAUAUUACAUGCAAUAAAUAUGCCAUGUGAUCAGUUUGCUAGGGUUCAUUUAUUCUAAUAGAUUAAAUCUAUUUAGUUAUAAAUGUAAACUAUGCUUAUCUGUGUAAUAUAUGUAUGUUUUUUAAACAUUUCUAUAUAUUACAUCAAAACUAUUUUCCACCCUAUUGUUUAUGAAAGUUUCUCUAAGGAGAAUGCUUACAUAGAUUAAGGGUAGGAUAUCUGUUUGUCAUAUUUGUCUAUCAAUUGUUUAUUAGGAUAAUUGUAUUCAUUAAUUGAAUGAGAAUUCCUGAUUGAUAGAUGAACUGAAUAUGCAGCAGAUAAUUCUUUCUGAAACCUACCUGUAUAAUAUGCAUCAUAUUGAAUGUAUAACUGCACAUAUUAAAAUGCCUAUUAUUUUUUCUAAUAGUGUAUUUGUAUGUGUAUGUAAUAUGUUGCAUAAAAUCUAAGGCCAGUAGAUCGGUAAUCCAUCUGACCC
This 745-nucleotide ribosomal RNA is filed under the name Picobia dziabaszewskii. RNAcentral's name for it is "partial 28S ribosomal RNA". Lineage: Eukaryota; Metazoa; Arthropoda; Arachnida; Trombidiformes; Syringophilidae. The record is from RNAcentral.